RNAcentral lists this transfer RNA (67 nucleotides) under Pyrrhura rupicola (black-capped parakeet). Its description in RNAcentral is "tRNA-Phe". Lineage: Eukaryota; Metazoa; Chordata; Aves; Psittaciformes; Psittacidae. The record is from RNAcentral.
GUCCCUGUAGCUUAAAUCAAAGCAUGGUGCUGAAGAUACCAAGAUGGACACCGCCACCCCAAGGACA